Molecule: transfer RNA, 76 nt
Filed under: Sulfuricella sp.
Lineage: Bacteria; Pseudomonadati; Pseudomonadota; Betaproteobacteria; Nitrosomonadales; Sulfuricellaceae
Description: tRNA-Glu
Rfam family: tRNA
About the family: Transfer RNA (tRNA) molecules are approximately 80 nucleotides in length. Their secondary structure includes four short double-helical elements and three loops (D, anti-codon, and T loops).
Source: RNAcentral
GUCCCCAUCGUCUAGAGGCCUAGGACACCGCCCUUUCACGGCGAUAACACGAGUUCGAAGCUCGUUGGGGACGCCA